RNAcentral lists this ribosomal RNA (369 nucleotides) under uncultured eukaryote. Its description in RNAcentral is "SSU rRNA". It matches the Rfam family "Eukaryotic small subunit ribosomal RNA", at positions 587 to 972 of the family's 1831-position model. The record is from RNAcentral.
AGCUCCAAUAGCGUAUAUUAUUGAUGUUGCAGUUGAAACGUUCGUAGUCGAAACUGAUCUGCUCCGGCACCCUGUCUGUAACUCACAGUAGGGUUGUCCAUCGGCAGAGAUUGCGCUUCUCGUUGCCGUGUUUCACGACGGCGUUGCAGCGCUUUACUUUGAGUGAAUCGGCGUGUUCCACGCAGGCUCUACGCCUUGAACGAUUUACCAUAGUAUAUCCAGAAUUUGAGGGUACUUCCUUGUCCUUUCGGAGGUACUUUCGAUACAUAUAAGAACGGUUGAGGGCAUUCGUAUUCAACUGCCAGAGGUGAAAUUCUUUGAUUAGUUGAGGACGAACAAUUGCGAAAGCAUCUGCCAAGGACGUUUCUG